UAAAACUUUCAACAAUGGAUCUCUUGGUUCCGGCAUCGAUGAAGAACGCAGCGAAAUGCGAUAACUAAUGUGAAUUGCAGAAUUCAGUGAAUCAUCGAGUCUUUGAACGCACAUUGCGCCCCCUGGUAUUCCGGGGGGCAUGCCUGUCCGAGCGUCA
This 157-nucleotide ribosomal RNA is filed under the name Aspergillus terreus. RNAcentral's name for it is "5.8S ribosomal RNA". It matches the Rfam family "5.8S ribosomal RNA". Rfam says of the family: 5.8S ribosomal RNA (5.8S rRNA) is a component of the large subunit of the eukaryotic ribosome. It is transcribed by RNA polymerase I as part of the 45S precursor that also contains 18S and 28S rRNA. Functionally, it is thought that 5.8S rRNA may be involved in ribosome translocation. Lineage: Eukaryota; Fungi; Ascomycota; Eurotiomycetes; Eurotiales; Aspergillaceae. The record is from RNAcentral.